AUUGAACGCUGGCGGCAGGCCUAACACAUGCAAGUCGAGCGGAUGAAGGGAGCUUGCUCCUGGAUUCAGCGGCGGACGGGUGAGUAAUGCCUAGGAAUCUGCCUGGUAGUGGGGGAUAACGUCCGGAAACGGGCGCUAAUACCGCAUACGUCCUGAGGGAGAAAGUGGGGGAUCUUCGGACCUCACGCUAUCAGAUGAGCCUAGGUCGGAUUAGCUAGUUGGUGGGGUAAAGGCCUACCAAGGCGACGAUCCGUAACUGGUCUGAGAGGAUGAUCAGUCACACUGGAACUGAGACACGGUCCAGACCCCUACGGGAGGCAGCAGUGGGGAAUAUUGGACAAUGGGCGAAAGCCUGAUCCAGCCAUGCCGCGUGUGCGAAGAAGGUCUUCGGAUUGUAAAGCACUUUAAGUUGGGAGGAAGGGCAGUAAGUUAAUACCUUGCUGUUUUGACGUUACCAACAGAAUAAGCACCGGCUAACUUCGUG
Molecule: ribosomal RNA, 484 nt
Filed under: uncultured bacterium
Lineage: Bacteria
Description: partial 16S ribosomal RNA
Rfam family: Bacterial small subunit ribosomal RNA
Source: RNAcentral